This 254-nucleotide ribosomal RNA is filed under the name uncultured bacterium. RNAcentral's name for it is "partial 16S ribosomal RNA". It matches the Rfam family "Bacterial small subunit ribosomal RNA", at positions 524 to 776 of the family's 1533-position model. The record is from RNAcentral.
UACGUAGGGGGCAAGCGUUAUCCGGAUUUACUGGGUGUAAAGGGAGCGUAGGUGGCAUGGUAAGCCAGAAGUGAAAACCCGGGGCUCAACCCCGCGGAUUGCUUUUGGAACUGUCAGGCUGGAGUGCUGGAGGGGUAAGCGGAAUUCCUAGUGUAGCGGUGAAAUGCGUAGAUAUUAGGAGGAACACCGGUGGCGAAGGCGGCUUACUGGACAGAAACUGACACUGAGGCUCGAAAGCGUGGGGAGCAAACAGG